RNAcentral lists this ribosomal RNA (1019 nucleotides) under uncultured bacterium. RNAcentral's name for it is "bacterial SSU rRNA". It matches the Rfam family "Bacterial small subunit ribosomal RNA", at positions 355 to 1375 of the family's 1533-position model. The record is from RNAcentral.
UGAGGAAUAUUGGUCAAUGGGCGAGAGCCUGAACCAGCCAAGUAGCGUGCAGGAUGACGGCCCUAUGGGUUGUAAACUGCUUUUAUAAGGGAAUAAAGUGAGCCUCGUGAGGCUUUUUGCAUGUACCUUAUGAAUAAGGACCGGCUAAUUCCGUGCCAGCAGCCGCGGUAAUACGGAAGGUCCGGGCGUUAUCCGGAUUUAUUGGGUUUAAAGGGAGCGUAGGCCGGAGAUUAAGCGUGUUGUGAAAUGUAGGCGCUCAACGUCUGCACUGCAGCGCGAACUGGUUUCCUUGAGUACGCACAAAGUGGGCGGAAUUCGUGGUGUAGCGGUGAAAUGCUUAGAUAUCACGAAGAACUCCGAUUGCGAAGGCAGCUCACUGGAGCGCAACUGACGCUGAAGCUCGAAAGUGCGGGUAUCGAACAGGAUUAGAUACCCUGGUAGUCCGCACGGUAAACGAUGGAUGCCCGCUGUUGGUCUGAACAGGUCAGCGGCCAAGCGAAAGCAUUAAGCAUCCCACCUGGGGAGUACGCCGGCAACGGUGAAACUCAAAGGAAUUGACGGGGGCCCGCACAAGCGGAGGAACAUGUGGUUUAAUUCGAUGAUACGCGAGGAACCUUACCCGGGCUUGAAUUGCAGAGGAAGGAUUUGGAGACAAUGACGCCCUUCGGGGUCUCUGUGAAGGUGCUGCAUGGUUGUCGUCAGCUCGUGCCGUGAGGUGUCGGCUUAAGUGCCAUAACGAGCGCAACCCCUCUCCUUAGUUGCCAUCAGGUCAAGCUGGGCACUCUGGGGACACUGCCACCGUAAGGUGUGAGGAAGGUGGGGAUGACGUCAAAUCAGCACGGCCCUUACGUCCGGGGCUACACACGUGUUACAAUGGCAGGUACAGAGAGACGGUCCCUUGCAAAAUGGAUCAAAUCCUUAAAGCCUGUCUCAGUUCGGACUGGGGUCUGCAACCCGACCCCACGAAGCUGGAUUCGCUAGUAAUCGCGCAUCAGCCAUGGCGCGGUGAAUACGUUCCC